GUCGAGCAUGGUGAUGUAUGCCUGUAGCCCCAGCUACUUGGGAGGCUGAGGCAGGAGGAUCACUUGAGCCCAGGAGGUCCAGGCUGCAGUGAACUAUGUUCAUGCCACUGCACUCCAGCCUGGGCAACAAAGUGAGAUCCUGUCUCAA
Molecule: signal recognition particle RNA, 148 nt
Filed under: Chlorocebus sabaeus (green monkey)
Lineage: Eukaryota; Metazoa; Chordata; Mammalia; Primates; Cercopithecidae
Description: Metazoan signal recognition particle RNA
Rfam family: Metazoan signal recognition particle RNA
About the family: The signal recognition particle (SRP) is a universally conserved ribonucleoprotein. It is involved in the co-translational targeting of proteins to membranes. The eukaryotic SRP consists of a 300-nucleotide 7S RNA and six proteins: SRPs 72, 68, 54, 19, 14, and 9.
Source: Rfam by way of RNAcentral